This 465-nucleotide ribosomal RNA is filed under the name uncultured Klebsiella sp. Its description in RNAcentral is "bacterial SSU rRNA". It matches the Rfam family "Bacterial small subunit ribosomal RNA", at positions 338 to 795 of the family's 1533-position model. The record is from RNAcentral. Lineage: Bacteria; Pseudomonadati; Pseudomonadota; Gammaproteobacteria; Enterobacterales; Enterobacteriaceae.
CCUACGGGAGGCAGCAGUGGGGAAUAUUGCACAAUGGGCGCAAGCCUGAUGCAGCCAUGCCGCGUGUGUGAAGAAGGCCUUCGGGUUGUAAAGCACUUUCAGCGGGGAGGAAGGCGGUGAGGUUAAUAACCUCAUCGAUUGACGUUACCCGCAGAAGAAGCACCGGCUAACUCCGUGCCAGCAGCCGCGGUAAUACGGAGGGUGCAAGCGUUAAUCGGAAUUACUGGGCGUAAAGCGCACGCAGGCGGUCUGUCAAGUCGGAUGUGAAAUCCCCGGGCUCAACCUGGGAACUGCAUUCAAAACUGGCAGGCUAGAGUCUUGUAGAGGGGGGUAGAAUUCCAGGUGUAGCGGUGAAAUGCGUAGAGAUCUGGAGGAAUACCGGUGGCGAAGGCGGCCCCCUGGACAAAGACUGACGCUCAGGUGCGAAAGCGUGGGGAGCAAACAGGAUUAGAUAUCCCGGUAGUC